This is a small nuclear RNA of Otolemur garnettii (small-eared galago), 107 nucleotides long. Lineage: Eukaryota; Metazoa; Chordata; Mammalia; Primates; Galagidae. The record is from Ensembl.
GUGCUCGCUUUGGCAGCACAUAUACUAAAAUUGGAACGAUACAGAGAAGAUUAGCAUGGCCCCUGUGCAAGGAUGACAUGCAGAUUUGUGAAGCAUUCCAUAUUUUU